RNAcentral lists this long non-coding RNA (699 nucleotides) under Limulus polyphemus (Atlantic horseshoe crab). Its description in RNAcentral is "uncharacterized LOC111088477, transcript variant X2". Lineage: Eukaryota; Metazoa; Arthropoda; Merostomata; Xiphosura; Limulidae. The record is from RNAcentral.
AUAUGGCCUUAAUGAUUUUUUUUAGGGGAAGGUUGAAAAAAUAAUAUUUAACAUUUAUUUUAAUUGCAAAUAUUGAAUGACAGUUAUUAACAUGUUGAAGCUUGAUAGCUGAAACAACUUUUACCUAGAUUAACAGCAGGUACUGAUUAACUAAGGUAUUUUUUAAAGUUCAAUAACAACGAUUAUCGAACUUAACAUUCAAACAAGAUGGUUCAAGUCCUAAGGGAAAACCACAAGUGAACAGAUAACACCUAAGCAAUUCUAACAAGAAGAUCCAGGAUUGAAUCUCAACUAUUAUGACAAGAAGAUCCAGGAUUAAAUCUCAGCCAUUAUGACAAGAAGAUCCAGGAUUGAAUCUCAGCCAUUAUGACAAGAAUAUCCAGGAUUAAAUCUCAGCCAUUAUGUCAAGAAGAUCCAGGAUUAUAUCUCAGCCAUAAUGAUAAAAGAAAGAUUUCUCAUCAGGACCUAACUGAAUACAACAUAACAUUAGAGGAAAAAAAGGGGCCUUUUGGUCCACUCAGAAUACCAAAAGAACUGGAGAAGAGACCACAAUGGAUCUAGAUGAUUUGAUGUGAAUACUGACAGCCAUCCAGCAUUGACUGCUUGUUAUGUUAAAGACUUGGGAGACAAUCAAGAAUUCUUGGCAGUAAUGGAUGGAAUAUCAUAACCAGUACACAGUAAGUUUAUAUUAUACUGUUU